UCUGAAUACUUUAUAUAUCCUUUGUAAAAUGAACUAAACAAAGUGGUUAGCUUGAUAUAAUAUUCUAUGAACUAUUUCAUAAAUAAAAUUCUAUGAACUAUUUUGGGUUAUUGAGGAAAUUUUGAGCUAUUUGAGGAAGUUUUGUUGACGUUUUUAUCAAUUACAUUUCAGUAGUUACAACACACUGGGAAUCAACAUUACAUACUUAUUUCUAGGUUAUCUAGUUAUUAUAAGAGUGAUGCCAUGAUAUUUACUUUGUAUUGCAAGAUGAAUUGUAUAUAUACAUAAUACAUUAUUACUGUCAGCAAUAUAUCAGGUGCUUCUGACAAAAAAUGUUGUUUAAAAAUUAAAUAAAUUAUGCAGUAAAUAAUAACUAGGAAUUUAUUGACUAUCGUCCUUGUGGUGUACCUUACAUUAAACCAAGGACUAUGUAGUAUACAAGUUAGGUGCAGUGUGUAAUUGUUUUCCUAAUCUUAUGGUUGAGAAGACAAAAGUAAUGCAUGAAAAGUAAAUAGAGAAAGGACAACAAAGUUAAUAAAUCACAUGGUAGCUGAAUCUAGAAGUUCAGAAAAAGGUGAGUGAGUAGAGGCUUUAGCAUUCAGAAUAUUUCCUUAAACAGUUUAAAUCUGAAUUGAGAUGACUGAGUAAAAGUUUGGAUUAUUAAAGAAAAUGCCUAUUCAGAAUUUGUAGAAUAUCAAGAACACAUACAUGUAAGUUGGAUAUAGUUUUGUGUGUUAAGGGAACCAAAAGGUGGAGGAAACAAUGGUUUUCAGUGAGAAAACAAGUCAACUAAGUAGAGUGGGCAGGAUUAGAGAAGGCUUUGAAAGCUGUGUAACAAAUAUAUAAAAAUUUCCAUCAUCUCUCGAUCCAUCAUUAUCACUUAUUGAUCUAUCCCAAUUCAGAAGCUCUUAGAUCUCUAGAUCAAUAAUGAAAAUGCUUUUGUGAACUAAGAGUAUAAGUUUUAAUUUCAGUAUAUUUUCCCUCCAAGAACAUUUCUUCUCUAUUCAAAACCUGGUGUUUUUAAUCAUUUAAAUAAUUUAUACAAGACGAGUGCCUGGGUAGUGUAGUUGGUUAAACGUCCGACUCUUAGUUUCAGCUCAGGUCAUGAUUCAGGAUCAUGGGAUUCAGCCCUGUGUUGGGCUAUGUGAUCAGUGUGGAGUCUGCUUGAAAUUCUCUCUCCCCCUCCCACUUGUGGUCUCUCUAAAAUAAAUAAAUACAUCUUUUAAAAAUAUUUAUACAAGACAGAUUAUCUUUUUUGGGUGUAAAUUCAAUGGUUGGUUGAUGUAUGGAAAGCAAGCUAUUAUUAAUUAACUGUUAUGUUUUAGACUUGGGGCUGGGCACAUCAUGUGUUUUAUUAUAUAAUGCUUCACAGCAGUGCCUGGAGUAGACGGUUUUAUCAUUGAACAUUGAUAAUCAGGGACAUUAGAAAUAUGUUGUUAAAAAAAAAAAGAAAUCUGUUGUUAAGCAUCCAGAUCUUUAAUUCCAAAGUCUAUGCUUUCUUUUAUAAUCAAGCUGCCUGCCAUAUCAACUUGUCCUUGGUUAGAUCUAUUAGAUGUGUUCAUCUUUGUUUCACUUCUUUCUAAAAUAAUAUGCACUCUAUACUCUCCUUUUUUCCCAAAGCUCAGAUGGUCAUGUUGAUACCAGGUGCCCCUGUACCUUAGCUGACAGUUGAUGGAACCAAAAACAGGUUUCCUGGGGACGCUCUUAGAGGAUUUGAAAGAAAUGCAUAGCACAGAAGCGAUUGUCUUGAGUGGAUGCAGCAAGUGGUGGCACUGUGAAGUCAAACCAAGGGAAUUGGGUACUGUCCCGUGGCUAGAGGCACCAGAGAGAAACAAAUCCCUCAAAGUUCUGUUGCUGUAAUAAACAGAGUUCCAGAAAGCCAUUGUUAGUUGAGAGAGAAGAUCUUCUGGGUUCUACCACCAGGCAAUUACAUAGCCAUUGCCAAAGGUCAGCUGCAAGAAUCCAUAGCUGUCAAGAGGCAUUGCUUUUAGGAAAAUUUUAUGGAAGUUAUAACUAAUGUCCAAAAGCACUUUUAAUAUAAUGCCAAGUGAAAAUGAAGGAUGUAAAACUUUCUGUAUAAUAUAAUAUCAAGAAAUAUGUAUAUUAUAUAUGUCAAUAUAUAGAAGAUAAGAAAAAGAAUACAUAUUUUCUUCAAUGAAUAUGAUUUAAAUUUA
This is a long non-coding RNA of Canis lupus familiaris (dog), 2174 nucleotides long. RefSeq lists it as uncharacterized. NCBI's taxonomy places the organism in Eukaryota, Metazoa, Chordata, Mammalia, Carnivora, Canidae. The transcript has 2 exons. The record is from RefSeq and is a predicted model, not a curated record.